UGUACCUACGGGACGCAGCAGUAGGGAAUCUUCCACAAUGGACGAAAGUCUGAUGGAGCAAUGCCGCGUGAACGAGGAAGGUCUUCGGAUCGUAAAGCUCUGUUGAAGGGGAAAAAGAGCGGAGAGAGGAAAUGCCUUCUGAUUGAUAUUACCCUUCGAGGAAGUCACGGCUAACUACGUGCCAGCAGCCGCGGUAAUACGUAGGUGGCGAGCGUUAUCCGGAAUGAUUGGGCGUAAAGGGUGCGUAGGCGGCCUGCUAAGUCUGGAGUGAAAGGUACCGGCGCAACCGGUACAGGCUCUGGAAA
This 305-nucleotide ribosomal RNA is filed under the name uncultured bacterium. RNAcentral's name for it is "bacterial SSU rRNA". It matches the Rfam family "Bacterial small subunit ribosomal RNA", at positions 335 to 632 of the family's 1533-position model. The record is from RNAcentral.